AUCUAUGGCCAUAACACUCUGAACACAUGCCUGAUCUCAGAAGCUUAGCAGGGUCGGGCCUGGUUAGUACUUGGAUGGGAGAAUUUAUCACAAAUCAUGAUGGAGAUG
RNAcentral lists this ribosomal RNA (108 nucleotides) under Nannospalax galili (Upper Galilee mountains blind mole rat). Lineage: Eukaryota; Metazoa; Chordata; Mammalia; Rodentia; Spalacidae. The record is from RNAcentral.